RNAcentral lists this ribosomal RNA (488 nucleotides) under uncultured bacterium. RNAcentral describes it as "bacterial SSU rRNA". It matches the Rfam family "Bacterial small subunit ribosomal RNA", at positions 28 to 511 of the family's 1533-position model. The record is from RNAcentral.
GAUGAACGCUAGCGGCAGGCCUAACACAUGCAAGUCGAACGGUAACAUGAGUAGCAAUACUUGAUGACGAGUGGCGCACGGGUGCGUAACGCGUAUGCAACUUACCUCUAACUGGAGAAUAGCCUUCCGAAAGGAAGAAUAAUACUCCAUAAUAUUACGAUGUGGCAUCACAUUGUUCUUAAAGCUUCGGCGGUUAGAGAUGGGCAUGCGUCUGAUUAGCUUGUUGGUGAGGUAACGGCUCACCAAGGCAACGAUCAGUAGGGGGCCUGAGAGGGUUAUCCCCCACACUGGUACUGAGACACGGACCAGACUCCUACGGGAGGCAGCAGUGAGGAAUAUUGGUCAAUGGACGAAAGUCUGAACCAGCCAUGCCGCGUGCAGGAUGAAUGCCCUAUGGGUUGUAAACUGCUUUUAUAUAGGAAUAAACCCCUUUACGUGUAAAGGGCUGAAGGUACUAUAAGAAUAAGGACCGGCUAACUCCGUGCCAG